GAACGCAUCUUGCGCCUGGUGGUAUUCCGCCGGGCAUGCCUGUCUGAGUGUCAUUACUAUCUCAACCCUAGCGAUGUUGUCAUGACGUGGCUAAGCGGAUUGGAACAUGGACCUGGCGGGGUUCGCCCGGCCGGUCUUAAAUGGAGUAGGCUAGCCGACUAUCAGCGGUUUGACCGGGUGUUGUAGAGUCGCCUCACGCGGGACGCUGAUCGGAUUAGUUGAAUUGUAAUUGUAUUACUCGAGCGAUUUAGACCUCAGAUCAGGUAGGAUUACCCGCUGAACUUAAG
This 287-nucleotide unclassified non-coding RNA is filed under the name uncultured fungus. RNAcentral describes it as "sequence contains 5.8S rRNA gene". The stretch from base 1 to 53 matches the Rfam family "5.8S ribosomal RNA", at positions 102 to 154 of the family's 154-position model. The record is from RNAcentral. Lineage: Eukaryota; Fungi.